AGGAUUAACGCUGGCGGCGUGCCUAACACAUGCAAGUCGAACGAGGUAGCAAUACCUAGUGGCAGACGGGUGAGUAACGCGUGGUCAACCUACCGUUGAGUGGGGGAUAACUAGCCGAAAGGUUAGCUAAUACCGCAUACGUCUCCGAGGGGCAUCCCUUGGCGAUAAAAGGAGCAAUCCGCUCGAUGACGGGACCGCGUCCCAUUAGCUAGAUGGUGGGGUAACGGCCUACCAUGGCACCGAUGGGUAGCUGGUUUGAGAGAGCGACCAGCCACACUGGGACUGAGAAACGGCCCAGACUCCUACGGGAGGCAGCAGUGAGGAAUUUUCCGCAAUGGGCGCAAGCCUGACGGAGCGACGCCGCGUGUGGGAAGAAGGCCUUCGGGUCGUAAACCACUGUCGAAGGGGACGAGUAAUGACGGUACCCUUGGAGGAAGCCCCGGCUAACUACGCGCCAGCAGCCGC
RNAcentral lists this ribosomal RNA (465 nucleotides) under uncultured bacterium. RNAcentral describes it as "SSU rRNA". It matches the Rfam family "Bacterial small subunit ribosomal RNA", at positions 26 to 518 of the family's 1533-position model. The record is from RNAcentral.